CACGUAGGCGGUCUUUUAAGUCAGAGGUGAAAGCCCGGGGCUCAACUCCGGAAUUGCCUUUGAAACUGGGAGACUUGAACACGGGAGAGGUGAGUGGAAUUCCGAGUGUAGAGGUGAAAUUCGUAGAUAUUCGGAGGAACACCAGUGGCGAAGGCGGCUCACUGGACCGUUGUUGACGCUGAGGUGCGAAAGCGUGGGGAGCAAACAGGAUUAGAUACCCCCGUA
Molecule: ribosomal RNA, 225 nt
Filed under: uncultured Sandaracinobacter sp.
Lineage: Bacteria; Pseudomonadati; Pseudomonadota; Alphaproteobacteria; Sphingomonadales; Sphingosinicellaceae
Description: partial 16S ribosomal RNA
Rfam family: Bacterial small subunit ribosomal RNA
Source: RNAcentral